Molecule: long non-coding RNA, 3171 nt
Organism: Mesocricetus auratus (golden hamster)
Lineage: Eukaryota; Metazoa; Chordata; Mammalia; Rodentia; Cricetidae
Exons: 2
Source: RefSeq, a predicted model, not a curated record
GAAAUUAUCAUUCUUCCUUACCAUCUCCACCUAUUCUCUGUGGUGCACCUCUCAGAUCUCCGACUUUGGGCACCACUGUGAAGUCUACCAGUGCAUUUGAUCCAAAUACGUAUCGUCUUUGAGCUGCUUCCAGACAUCUGUUGAGCAAUGCAGGGAUAUUAAGGCAGCUGCUGUGAAAAGCCCGGGACUCCUCUGAAAGGAAACUUAGACUUCGGGACUUUACUAACCUCUCUUAGGACUAACCUAAGCCCAAGCUGCUCAGCAGCUGUCCAGGUUAGCUUUUACUUGACACAACCUGGAACUACUUUGGAAGAAAAUCUCAACUGAGGAAGUUCCUAUGUCUCACUGACCUUUAGGGAUGUCUAUGGGAGAGUGUCUUGAUUUUUGAUUGAUGUAAGAGGUUUCACCCCCCACUGUGGGUGGUACCAUUCCCUAUGUGGGUGAUCCUGGACUAUGUGAAGAAACUAGAUGAGCAUGAGCUUGCCCAACAGCAAGCUGUGUCCUCCAUACUUCCUACUGUGCUUCUUCGGGUGUGAAGUGAGUUCUCUGGUAGAGAUCAUACUAUGUGGGGUAAUAAGCAGGCUUGCCUAUGAGUUCCCACAGAAAUGACUCAAAGACGGCUGCAUCAUCAAAGCCCAUCCCUGCAUGAGUGACAUCUCACAGAAGCUGUGAAAUCUGGAGCUCACUGCACAGCAGCUCAAUAGAAUGGACAUUGUUCUUUCUAAGUGACUUAGCUGUUCUAAGCCUCUUCUAGGCAGCUGGUCUGGUCCCAGAAUCUUCUCUGCAGCUUGGCUUCUCUGAGAGGUGUUGGGAUAUUUGUACACUGUGUGAAGAUAUAUUGCUGUAGAUUGAUUUAAUAAAGAGCUAAGUGUCGAAGGCAAGAGGUAAAGCAGGACUUCCAGGCAGGGAAAGAAGAAGUAAGAGAUGAAGCUAGGCAUGAGAGAGACAAGGAACAAGUGGGACACACAGAAUGGGAUAGAGGUAAAAGCCACGUGGUAGAAUGUAGAUUAAUAAAAAUAUGGGUUAAUUUACAUUAUGACAGUUAAAAAUAAGCCUAAGCUCUGUGCCAGUGCUGAGGUAUCACUUUGAUAGCCUGUUGUUAUAUUCUUAGAGAAUCUGAAUCACCUGCACAUCCCUCAGAAAGUCACACUGGCUCAUCAUAUCAAUGACAUCGCGAUGACAAGACAGGAAUAGGUGAUGUCACAGAGCAUGUGACAAACAUACCAGAUGAAGUUCACACAGCAGCAAGAACUCCAAAAGGAUGCUCAAGCAUCAUCAGAACCAAGGAUGGUAAUGCAUAUGUAAGGCCAAUGCUCGGGAGACUGGGGCAGGCAGAUGCAGGUAAGGCCAUCCUGGACUGGUAUGAGACCCUAUGUAAAAUAUAUUUCUUAUGUAUUUAUGUAAUGUAUAAUAUAAUAUAUAUUGCAAACCAGUUGAAACAUGAUAAGCCUAACUGUAAUUGCUUCUUGAUUUCAGGCUUGUCCAACCUUUUGACAUAGGGAAAUGAUGCUACUAUCUAAAGUUCACCCUCAAGGAUCGUAUGAAUCAAGUUAUAAAACCUAUUGCAAAAAAACAAACUCCUAAUUCUUUAGGUGAACUUUUGACUUUGUGUUGAACUGUAUUGUUUAUCAUCAGCUUGCACAUUAAAAACAUUGUUAAAAUGGUUACAAAUGCUCAGAUCUUCUAAAAUUAAUUAGCCAACAGUUUAUAAAAUAAGGCCUUAGAAGCAUUUCACCAAUAUUUUAUCACUCUUAUUAAAUGUCUUACCAAGGGCUGUAACUAGCCUCUAGGUGCCUCUGCAACAAUUUGAGAAAAGCUUCCAGUCUCCAUGGUGCCCUUCACAACCACUCAACCCAAAAACCACUUAGCUGAUCACCUUGCCUGUGAGCUCAACUAUGGAGGCCAAGAGCUCUGAAGGCCAGAUCCCACAUUCCCCGCCUCAAAGCUGUGACUCUUUCUUCUUCAUGCAUGGUCCCUGUCUGAGACAUAUUCUCCUGAUCCCUCCUCUUCUCCUUCGUAUUCUUCAUGGUUCCUUUAUGCUUGCCUGCACCUUUAGUCCUUAGCCUCCAGAUAGAUUCAUGUUGCCUUAAAAAAACAAAUGAUUUCAAGCUAGCCUCUAGACAUUGGAGUCUAAAGCCAAACAUCUGGGGUAAAUGUUGUGCAUCUGUGUUUCUGCUUCUCUUCUCGGCUCCUGGCCUUCUGCACAGCUGUUCCGUUCAAACACGUUCAUCGAAGUCACUGUAGACUUUCUGUUGCUGCCGUUGUAACUCUGACUAAACCAUCUUUCUUUGAACAUUCCUCUCCAGGAGUGUCUCAGAGAUGUCUGCCUCUCCUGCUUCUCUUUCUUGGCUUAUUGUCCUACUUUUAUUAUUAUUAUUAUUGUAUUUUUUAAAUAGUAGGCAGCACAGACUCACUUCUUUCUAAGCUUUAAUGGUGGGAUCUGUCAUAGAGCAUAACACUGCUGAAAUCAUAUACACGCUCAGCAUAUUGGUAGAGAGUAUUGAUAGCCAGCAUAUUGGCAGAAAUCCUAUUUCAUUAAGGAAAAAUGAUAUCUAAAUAAUGGGUUAGAUAUUGUAAUGAAAUUGUAACACAUAUUGUUUUGGGAUAAGGUUUAUUUAUUUUAUGUUUAUGAAUAUUUUGUCUGCAUGUAUGUAAGAGCAUCCUGUGUGUGCAGGGCCUUGGGAGGCCAGAAGAGAGUAUCUCCUGGAGCUGGAGUUAGAGAUGAGUGUGAGCAACCAUGUUGGGGCUGUGAAUGUAACCCAGGUCCUCUGCAAGAGCAGCAAGUGUUCUUAUUUGCUGAACCAUCUCUCCAUCCACACUGGAAACACUUUGUAAAGGGUCAAGCAAAACUCACCGUGGAAUAUAUUUAAUGGAUAAAUAACGGCUGAAAAACACCAGAGACAAAUAUAAAUGUGCACCUGUGUGUUACUAAUGCAAUGAACAAGAACCAACAUGUGGGAUGGAAUCAGAAAAACAACCUCUUUUUCUCUUCCAUCACCAACUUAAAAGCAUUGGAUGCAUCUGGUCCUUCCUUUGUUUUCUGUGGAAACCUGAGUUUUCUUUUUACUCCUCAUAAUAAAAGUCACUUUAAGGGUCUCUCUUGACUUAAAAGGGGGAGGAGAUAUUUAAUGACUAUUGCUUUUUGAAUCAUAUAAUAAAUGUCCACCUGCU